UACGGAGGGUGCAAGCGUUAUCCGGAUUCACUGGGUUUAAAGGGUGCGUAGGCGGGCAUAUAAGUCAGUGGUGAAAUCCCCGAGCUUAACUUGGGAACUGCCAUUGAUACUAUCUGUCUUGAAUAUCGCGGAGGUAAGCGGAAUAUGUCAUGUAGCGGUGAAAUGCUUAGAUAUGACAUAGAACACCGAUUGCGAAGGCAGCUUACUACACGAUUAUUGACGCUGAGGCACGAAAGCGUGGGGAUCAAAC
This 250-nucleotide ribosomal RNA is filed under the name uncultured Sphingobacteriia bacterium. Its description in RNAcentral is "partial 16S ribosomal RNA". It matches the Rfam family "Bacterial small subunit ribosomal RNA", at positions 524 to 773 of the family's 1533-position model. Lineage: Bacteria; Pseudomonadati; Bacteroidota; Sphingobacteriia. The record is from RNAcentral.